AGGACGGGUGGAGUAAUACAUCGGAACGUGUCCCGUAGUGGGGGAUAGCCCGGCGAAAGCCGGAUUAAUGACCGCAUAUGCUCUACGGAGGAAAGUGGGGGACUCGCAAGGGCCUCACGCUAUGGGAGCAGGCGAUGAUCCGAUUAGCUUGUUGGCCGGGGUAAUGGCCCACCAAAGGCGACGAUCAGGAAGAAUGGUCUGAGAGGAUAGAUCAGACACAAUGGGACUGAGACACGGACCAGACUCCAUACGGGAGGCAGCAGUGGGGAA
This 270-nucleotide ribosomal RNA is filed under the name uncultured bacterium. RNAcentral describes it as "partial 16S ribosomal RNA". It matches the Rfam family "Bacterial small subunit ribosomal RNA", at positions 99 to 361 of the family's 1533-position model. The record is from RNAcentral.